RNAcentral lists this ribosomal RNA (554 nucleotides) under uncultured beta proteobacterium. Its description in RNAcentral is "bacterial SSU rRNA". It matches the Rfam family "Bacterial small subunit ribosomal RNA", at positions 64 to 611 of the family's 1533-position model. The record is from RNAcentral. Lineage: Bacteria; Pseudomonadati; Pseudomonadota; Betaproteobacteria.
GAACGGCAGCACGGGUGCUUGCACCUGGUGGCGAGUGGCGAACGGGUGAGUAAUACAUCGGAACAUGUCCUGUAGUGGGGGAUAGCCCGGCGAAAGCCGGAUUAAUACCGCAUACGAUCUACGGAUGAAAGCGGGGGACCUUCGGGCCUCGCGCUAUAGGGUUGGCCGAUGGCUGAUUAGCUAGUUGGUGGGGUAAAGGCCUACCAAGGCGACGAUCAGUAGCUGGUCUGAGAGGACGACCAGCCACACUGGGACUGAGACACGGCCCAGACUCCUACGGGAGGCAGCAGUGGGGAAUUUUGGACAAUGGGCGAAAGCCUGAUCCAGCAAUGCCGCGUGUGUGAAGAAGGCCUUCGGGUUGUAAAGCACUUUUGUCCGGAAAGAAAUCCUUGGUUCUAAUAUAGCCGGGGGAUGACGGUACCGGAAGAAUAAGCACCGGCUAACUACGUGCCAGCAGCCGCGGUAAUACGUAGGGUGCGAGCGUUAAUCGGAAUUACUGGCCGUAAAGCGUGCGCAGGCGGUUAGCUAAGACCGAUGUGAAAUCCCCGGGCUCA